Molecule: ribosomal RNA, 258 nt
Filed under: uncultured bacterium
Lineage: Bacteria
Description: partial 16S ribosomal RNA
Rfam family: Bacterial small subunit ribosomal RNA
Source: RNAcentral
UGGCGGACGGGUGAGUAACGCGUGGGUAGCCUGCCUUACACAGGGGGAUAACACCUGGAAACAGGUGCUAAUACCGCAUAAGCGCACAGGGCCGCAUGGCCCGGUGUGAAAAACUCCGGUGGUGUAAGAUGGACCCGCGUCUGAUUAGCUUGUUGGCGGGGUAGGGGCCCACCAAGGCGACGAUCAGUAGCCGGCCUGAGAGGGUGGACGGCCACAUUGGGACUGAGACACGGCCCAAACUCCUACGGAAGGCAGCAG